Pteropus alecto (black flying fox) is the source of this 1264-nucleotide long non-coding RNA. RefSeq lists it as uncharacterized. The record is from RefSeq and is a predicted model, not a curated record. Lineage: Eukaryota; Metazoa; Chordata; Mammalia; Chiroptera; Pteropodidae. The transcript has 4 exons.
GGGGCCAGGCCUCGGCUGCGCGGGGCGGGCUCCGAGGACGCAGCUUGCCCGGCUCUUGCGGCAGCACUCCCUGACGUCCUGGUGGAGAGGCGUUGAGGGCAGCGCCGCGAUAAUAAUAGCUCGUAUUUAUUGACCGCUUACACUGUGCCAGGCUCUGUGUUAAACCCUUUGCGCACAUCUGUCCUCGAGUCAGCCCUGUGAAGUCGCCACUACUAUUAUCCUCAUUUUUCAGAGGCAGAUGCUGAGAUUCAGAAUGGUAAAAAGACUUGCGUGUAGUCGCAAGGUGGUGAAACCAGACUGGAACCAGAUGUUUCCUGACACCCUAUCCCUGCUGAUGCUGAACAAAAAGCUGUGACACCAAGGCCUCGCAGAUGUCAAUAAAUCGCUCCCCGGUAGAAAUACAUAAGAGGACUAUUCUAAUACAUUCCCAGGAAGAGCAUAUAGAAUAAGAAGAGAAAAGGACUGAGACCCGAAUUCUGGGAAUGCCAGUAUCUGGGUAGCCAGCAGAGGAAAAGAAUGGCAGGAAGAAAACUGAGAAGAAACAGAGUAAGAGGAGAAUCAGGAGAGAGUAAUGUCAUGGAAGGAAUCCAAGGGAGGAAAGAUAUUCAAGGAGGAAGAAGUGGUCAACAGCAUCAGAUGCAGCAAAGAUUUCCAAUAAGGUUAAGACAAAAAAGUAUCCUUUGAAUUUGGUGACACGGAGGUGAUGAACAUCCAUGCUGUGAUCUGUAUCAGCAAAAAAUGGAGGCAGAAGACACAAUGCAAUGAGCUAAGUGAAUGAAAAUGAGGAAGAAUAAAUGGUAGAGAAUCGAACAUGGCUAUAUACUACAAAAAGAUAACAGUAGAGAAGAUGAAUUUUAAAGUAAAGAAAAAAAGAAGCUGAGAUAUGGAGCAAGAUCCUGAAGGUGAUGAGAGGAGUUAGGCUCUACCAAUGGGGACCUUCAUAUGAGGAAGAUAGGAAGAAGCAAGAAAUCUUUCUACUUUUGGCAGUUACGCUGGCAACAUCAACUUCUGAUGUUGCAGAAGUAGAGGAAGUCCCAGCAUCAUCAGCAAUACAAGCUCAUGCCAUAUCAGCAGAUAGUGCAAAUUGUGGAAUCCAGCUCCUUGAUAUUUGAGUCAAACCAUUUCUCCCUUUUGCUCCUCUAAACCAAUAUUAGGGGUAGUUUCCUGGUCUCUGGGUAGUCCUGUUUUUCCUCUUAAUGCUUCUCCAGACCUCUCCCACAACGUUGUAACAAAUUCUUCCUAAUAAAUACUUCCCUACUUGGAA